CUCUCUCCUGCGCAAGCGCUCUUCAACAUCACUCCUUGCUACCUCGCCCCCCACCUCCUCCAGGGCAGGAACCAAGCCUGGGUGAUUUCUCCAAAGAGAAAGUUUUAAAAGGGUUGUGUAUCCACCGUAUGUCCCCACGUAACAGGUUUUUAAUCCUGGGUGGGCCUGAGAAGCUUUUAACUACAUCAGAAAUGGAAGCUUUAACUUAAAUUGACCCAGACUUUUGGCACCUAAAAAUGGGACUAUUCUAAUACCUUGAAAGUGACAGAAGCGCCAAGCAACGCUCAACACACUGCGUGGAUGGAGAAGGGAGAAUUGACAAGCCCUCCUACAUUGUUGGUGGGAAUGUAAUUGGUACAACCACUAUGAAAAACAUUAUGGAGGUACCUCAGAAGAAACUAAAUAUAGAACUACUGUAUGAUCCAGCGAUACCACUCCUGGGCAUAUAUCUGGACAAAACUUUCAUUGAAAAAGAUACAUGCAUUCCUGUGUUCAUUGCAACUAUUCACAAUAGCCAAGACAUGGACACAACUUAAAUGUCCAUUGACCAAUAAAUGGAUUAAGAAGAUGUGGUACAUAUACACAAUGGAAUACUACUCAACUACAAAAAGAACAGAGUAAUGCCUUUUGCAGCAACAUGGAUGGAAAUAAAGACUCUCAUACUAAGUGAAGUAAGUCAGAAAGAGAAGGGCAAAUACCAUAUGAUAUCACAUAUCUGGAGUCUAAUAUAUGACACAAAUUAACCUCAAAUACAGAAAAGAAACAAACUCAUGGACAUGGAGACAUGGACUUGUGGUUAUCAAGGGGGAGAGAGAGGGGGUGAGAUGGACUGUAAGUUUGGGGUUAGUAGAUGCAAACUAUGGCAUUCGGAUUGAAUAAGCAAUGAGAUCCUGAUAUGUGGCACAGGGAACUAUAUCUAGUCACUUGUAAUCGAAUAUGAUGGAGGAUAAUGUGAGAAAAAGAAUGUAUACAUAUGUGUAACUGGGUCACUUUGCUGUACAGCAGAAAUUGACAGAACAAUGGAAAUCAACUAUAAUAAAAAA
RNAcentral lists this long non-coding RNA (1043 nucleotides) under Sus scrofa (pig). RNAcentral describes it as "lncRNA (ENSSSCG00000045093.2)". Lineage: Eukaryota; Metazoa; Chordata; Mammalia; Artiodactyla; Suidae. The record is from RNAcentral.